AUUGAACGCUGGCGGCAUGCCUUACACAUGCAAGUCGAACGGUAACGCGGGGCAACCUGGCGACGAGUGGCGAACGGGUGGGUAACGCAUCGGAACGUGCCCAAUAGUGGGGGAUAGCCCGGCGAAAGCCGGAUUAAUACCGCAUACGACCUACGGGUGAAAGCAGGGGAUCGCAAGACCUUGCGCUAAUGGAGCGGCCGAUGUCAGAUUCGGUUGUUGGUGGGGUAAAAGCCCACCAAGCCGACGAUCUGUAGCUGGUCUGAGAGGACGACCAGCCACACUGGGACUGAGACACGGCCCAGACUCCUACGGGAGGCAGCAGUGGGGAAUGUUGGACAAUGGGCGCAAGCCUGAUCCAGCCAUGCCGCGUGCGGGAUGAAGGCCUUCGGGUUGUAAACCGCUUUUGUUAGGGAAGAAAUCUUUUGAGCUAAUACCUCGGAAGGAUGACGGUACCUAAAGAAUAAGCACCGGCUAACUACGUGCCAGCCGCCGCGGUAA
RNAcentral lists this ribosomal RNA (498 nucleotides) under uncultured bacterium. RNAcentral's name for it is "partial 16S ribosomal RNA". It matches the Rfam family "Bacterial small subunit ribosomal RNA", at positions 29 to 523 of the family's 1533-position model. The record is from RNAcentral.